Molecule: ribosomal RNA, 253 nt
Filed under: uncultured bacterium
Lineage: Bacteria
Description: partial 16S ribosomal RNA
Rfam family: Bacterial small subunit ribosomal RNA
Source: RNAcentral
UACGUAGGGUGCAAGCGUUAAUCGGAAUUACUGGGCGUAAAGCGUGCGCAGGCGGUUAUGUAAGACAGGUGUGAAAUCCCCGGGCUUAACCUGGGAACUGCAUUUGUGACUGCAUAGCUAGAGUACGGUAGAGGGGGAUGGAAUUCCGCGUGUAGCAGUGAAAUGCGUAGAUAUCAAGAGGAACACCAGUGGCGAAGGCGAGUCCCUGGACAACACCUGACACUGAGGCACGAAAGCCGGGGGAGCAAACAGG